UACUCUGGUUUUGUUUUUUAACAGUUUCGAAAAUUUAUGACUUGACAGUCCAACUGAAAACUUUUCAAUUUUAAAGUUUUUAUUGGUGUUUCGCAAACAGGAAAAUUGUUGUUACUGAUAUACAACAUACGUUGAGCUGUAUUCAUAUGCAAAUAAUCAACUGGAAAACUGUUGAAAUAUCUUGGAAGGUGAUCAUAUACUGUGUGGCAAGAUUCUAAUGAAAUAAGAAAUAUCUAGAGAUAGUUAAACUUCACAACAGCUAUUGAAACCUCAGCAGACCCUGAGUUGCUGGACAUUCAACAAUGAUGUUAUUACUAGAACUUGGGAAGUACAGAUUUUCUUCUUCAUUUUGUAUCAUCGGAUUUUCAUAAAAAAUCCUAAAACAGUUGUGCGAAAUUUGAAUGAAGAAAAUAAAAGAAUGUGAACUGAC
Diachasmimorpha longicaudata is the source of this 430-nucleotide long non-coding RNA. RefSeq lists it as uncharacterized. The record is from RefSeq and is a predicted model, not a curated record. The transcript is spliced from 3 exons. Lineage: Eukaryota; Metazoa; Arthropoda; Insecta; Hymenoptera; Braconidae.